RNAcentral lists this ribosomal RNA (879 nucleotides) under uncultured bacterium. RNAcentral's name for it is "bacterial SSU rRNA". It matches the Rfam family "Bacterial small subunit ribosomal RNA", at positions 8 to 916 of the family's 1533-position model. The record is from RNAcentral.
AGAGUUUGAUCAUGGCUCAGGAUGAACGCUGGCGGCGUGCCUAACACAUGCAAGUCGAGCGAUUUACUUCGGUAAAGAGCGGCGGACGGGUGAGUAACGCGUGGGUAACCUGCCUCAUACACAUGGAUAACAUACCGAAAGGUAUGCUAAUACAAGAUAAUAUAAGAGAUUCGCAUGGGUUUCUUAUCAAAGCUUUUGCGGUAUGAGAUGGACCCGCGUCUGAUUAGCUAGUUGGUAAGGUAACGGCUUACCAAGGCGACGAUCAGUAGCCGACCUGAGAGGGUGAUCGGCCACAUUGGAACUGAGACACGGUCCAAACUCCUACGGGAGGCAGCAGUGGGGAAUAUUGCACAAUGGGCGAAAGCCUGAUGCAGCAACGCCGCGUGAGCGAUGAAGGCCUUCGGGUCGUAAAGCUCUGUCCUCAAGGAAGAUAAUGACGGUACUUGAGGAGGAAGCCCCGGCUAACUACGUGCCAGCAGCCGCGGUAAUACGUAGGGGGCUAGCGUUAUCCGGAUUUACUGGGCGUAAAGGGUGCGUAGGUGGUUUCUUAAGUCAGGAGUGAAAGGCUACGGCUCAACCGUAGUAGGCUCUUGAAACUGGGAAACUUGAGUGCAGGAGAGGAAAGUGGAAUUCCUAGUGUAGCGGUGAAAUGCGUAGAUAUUAGGAGGAACACCAGUAGCGAAGGCGGCUUUCUGGACUGUAACUGACACUGAGGCACGAAAGCGUGGGGAGCAAACAGGAUUAGAUACCCUGGUAGUCCACGCCGUAAACGAUGAGUACUAGGUGUCGGGGGUUACCCCCCUCGGUGCCGCAGCUAACGCAUUAAGUACUCCGCCUGGGGAGUACGCUCGCAAGAGUGAAACUCAAAGGAAUUGACGG